AUGACUCUGAUCUGCGUCCUCAUCUGGACUCUCCUCUGCUGCUGCUUCACAGAGUCCAGAGGACAGGUCACAGUGACUCAGCCUGCAGCAGUGAGCUCUGCUCUGGGAGGCUCCGUCACCAUCUCAUGCAGGACCAGUCCGAGUGUUGCUCAUACAGACCACUUAUACUGGUUCCAGCAGAAAGAUGGAGAAUCACCUAAACAACUUAUACGCAACACCAAUCAGAGGAUGUCAGGGAUACCUGAACGGUUUUCAGGCAGUGGAUCUGGAUCAAGCUUCACUCUGACCAUCAGUGGAGUCCAGACUGAAGAUGCUGCAGUUUACUACUGUCUGAGUUUUCACUACAUCAACAGUCAGUAUCUGUACACACAGUGA
Molecule: non-coding RNA, 375 nt
Organism: Notolabrus celidotus (New Zealand spotty)
Lineage: Eukaryota; Metazoa; Chordata; Actinopteri; Labriformes; Labridae
Source: the annotation of a RefSeq genome assembly